Molecule: non-coding RNA, 9890 nt
Organism: Podarcis lilfordi (Lilford's wall lizard)
Lineage: Eukaryota; Metazoa; Chordata; Lepidosauria; Squamata; Lacertidae
Source: the annotation of a GenBank genome assembly
CAGCAGAAAGAUAGCCCUACGGGGCCAAUACUAAGUGUAAGUCUCUGUCUCGAAUAUGAACAUUGCUGGGGAGAGUGGGCUGUUAGCCAAUACAAAAGUUGUUCCUUCCCCGGAGGAUCAGUUAAGUAUUUGACUAAAGUCAAUUAUAACAUUAUAACUUAAAGAACCACAGUUGAUUUAUCCCAGUCUUAAAUAACUAAUUAAAUAUGCAUAUAGGUGAAAAGUAGACAACAUUCUGCAAAGGAUACGAUAUUUGAAAUUCACCCCAAACAGACCCUUGGUUGCCUGAAUGUCUCAUUAUCCUGGCCUAGCAGGAAACAUUUCAGGCGUAAUUUUGUGUGUGUGUGUGGAAACAAUCCCUUUAAAAAAAGGCAAUUGGUCUAACAUUUAGAAUAAUAGAAUCGGAAGGGACCAUGAGCGUCAUUUAGUCCAACCUCCUGCAAUGCAAGAAUCUCAACUAACAAAUCCACCUGCAUCCAGGGCAGUGGUUUGAUUGCCUGACUCAUAAAAAGCCAGCUCAUGCUGUAAUGCAGGAAUGGGGACCCUGGCAUCCAACGUCUGGAGGGCUGCAGAUUUCCCCGCAAUUCGUUUUGUGCAGGUGAGUUGCCAGUUGAAAACUGUAAUCCUCAGGGGCUUAUGCUACUGCUUUUUUAAGGUAAGCCACAUGAUUUAGCAGGGAAUAAGUACAGUGGACGCUUGGGUUGCGAACAUGAUCCGUGCGGGAGGCAUGUUCGCAACCCUCAGCGCCGCAUCUGCGCACGUGCGGGUCACGAUUUGGUGCUUCGCGGCAUGUGCAAAGUGCAAUUUAACACUUCUGCGCAUGCACGAGCGCCAAAACCCGGAAGUAACCAGUUCCGGUACUUCCGGGUUCGGUGCAGUGCACAACCCGAAAUCGUGCAACCUGAAGCAUCUGUAACCCAAGGUAUGACUGUACUCUAGAUAAUGGAGGAGGGAUAUAAACCCACAACGGGAUUGUAGGCACCUUCAACAUCAAGGCUCCCACCAAAGCCAUCAAAUUAGGUUUCAGUUCUUCAGCUUUAAGCCCAAUAAAGCACUGGGAAAUAUAACCAAGAACACCAUGCUUGGACUCCAGUUUGGCUGAGUUCUAUAAAUCAGAGCCUCUUUCCUAUGUGUUACAGAAGCUGUAAAGAUAAAAAGAACCCUCUAUCACUUAUGGUGGGAUUGUACUAAGGUGGACACACUUAGUGGGCAUUCAUUUUUACUUGUAUUAGUCAAUCGUACAGCAACUUCACUCCUGAACCUCUGCUUGCUCUCCUGUCUAUUUUGAGAAAAGGGGUUAAGGCAGAGUUUUCCAAGCUGUGAAUGUCUGUUGCAUGAACACUCCCUGCGCUCCUCCUGGGACUGGAAAGGGGUUAGUUUAACCUCCAGUUUGCUAGUAAAACUGAAUUACUGUGUCGCAACAUGAUGCAUGUCUAAAAAGUGUGCCACCAACAUGAAAAGUUUGGAAAGCUCUGGGUUAAGGGGUCAAUAAGCCUCUGGUCCACAGACAUCUGGUACUAAAGCAACUGGCAGCUGCUCAAUUAGAAACUGCAUGCCUCUGGAGGGAAUUGGGAAUUUAGAAUCACAUAAUCACAGGACUAUAGAAUUGGAAGGGACCCAUAGGUCAUCUAGUCUAACCCCCUUGGCAAGGCAGGAAUCUCAACUAAAGCAUCCACAACAAUGGUCACCCAACCUCUGCUUAAAAACCUCCAAGGAAGAAGAGUCCACCAAAUAAUUACUAUCUGAAACUUCUUCCUGAUGUUUAGUCAAAAGCUCCUUUCUUGUAACUUGAAGCCAUCGGUUUGUGUCCUACCCUCCAGAGCAGGAGAAAACAAGCCUGCUCCAUCUUCCAUGUGACAACCCUUCAGAUAUUUGAAGAUGGCUAUCGUAUCUCCUUUCCGUCUCUUUUCCAGGCUAAACAUACCCAGCUCCUUCAAGCGCUCCUCAUAAGGCUUAGUUUCCAGACCCUUGAUCUUCUUGGUUGCCAUCCUCUGCACACUUUCCAGCUUGUCAACAUCCUUCUUAAAUUGUGGUGCCCAGAACUGGACGCAGUAUUCCAAGUGUGGUCUGAGUAAGGCAGAACAGAGUGGGACCAUUACUUCCCUUGAUCUGGACACUAUACUUCUGUUGAUGCAGCCGAGAAGAGCAUUACCUUUUUUUGCUGCUGCAUCACACAUAAUGCAUCAUGCAUAAACAAUAACCAUCAAACACUUGUCCAGCAGUACGUCUAAGGGUGCUUGUUUAUCCACUGUCUGUUGACAUACAUUUACACGUUCAACAUUCAAACAUAUUACUUAGCGUAACCUCUCCACUGAGAAUAUUGAACAGGUGGUAUACCAAGGUCUUGAUUUUGGUCAUUAACAGAGUUAAAGAAAGGGGCCUAUGUGUCUUGGAAGGUGUCUCUAUUCAGUAUGCCUUUAACUGCCCUCCUGUGUCUGGUGAGACGCUCAGACAUUGCUGUAUCCAUAUAUUAUUUUCCCAUGUAGUCCAGGAUAUUUCACUCUGGUUCUUCCAUUGGUGAGCUAUCGCUAAUCGUGCUGCGGUCAGUAAGAAGUCUACUAGUUCUCUAUGCUGCAGGGUGAAGCCUAAGUCAAUAUCUGAGGAAAGUAGGACUAAGCCAAGAUUUGGAGAAAGGGGUUGGCCUGUAAUUGGGGAAUACUCUAUUCCAGGCAUAGGCAAACUCAGCCCUCCAGAUGUUUUGAGACUACAACUCCCAUCAUCCCUGGCCGCUGGUCCUGUUUGCUAGGGAUGAUGGGAGCUGUGGUCCAAAAACGUAUGGAGGGCCGAGUUUGCCUAUGCUUGCUCCAUUCUAAAGGUUUUUAACAUUGGGGCAUUCCCACCAAACAUUAAUUAAUGAACCAAGCUUUCUGCACCCCUUCCAACAUAAAGGUGAAAGGGGGGGUUCACACUGUUGACUUAUGUUCAGCUUGUGGUCUGCUAAGACCCCUAGAUCCUUUUCACAUGUAAUACUGGCAAGCCAGGUGUUCCCCAUCUCAUAUUUGUGCAGCUGGUUCUUCCUGCCUAAGUGUAGGAUCUUACAUUCGUCCCUAUUAAAUUUCAUUUUGUUAGUUUGGGCCCAAUACACACUCACUCUCGCUCUCUCUAUAUAUAUAUAUCUCCCCCACCUCUUUAUCUAUGGUCUUAAAUCAUUCCUUUGUUGUCUUGUCACUGCAUCCAGCCAUUUAUUAAAUAAAUACAAUAUAACGCUAUUGUCAAAAGGCCAGGUCUUCUGAGAAGGAGACGUGCUCUGUGCUAGGCAGACCUGCUUAUUACUCAGCAUUUGAAUUAUGAGUAAAGCUAGAAAACGACACAUGAAAAAUUGAAAUUGUAAAAAAAGAGCCAUGAAGGCAUCUCCCAUGCCCACCUGGUAAUACAAUAGCCAGGUGGCAAAAUACCAUAGGCAAGAUCUAGUGAACAAACAAGCUUUGAUAACCAGGUAUGACUGUCUGGUCAUUAUGACAAGUGUGGCUACAAAACCUGCCACAGAAGACAGGUCUGUUUCUUCUGAGCAAAGUUCACUGAUGCUGCUUUGACAGCUGAGAGACUGGCCUACUUAUUCAAAGGUUUCUCUCAUAACAAAAAUAGUGACAGAUUUGACUUAAGUUGUUUUGGUCUGUGCCAAACAUAUGUGGGCGACUCACCUUUGUUGCUGCCACCGCUGCCAUGGCACUUGACACUGACGAGUUGGAAAAAUGAACAAUAGAUGACAAAGCUUCUGUUGCAAGCCUGAAUUCAAAGUCUUCUUCAAGUCUUCACACUCUUCCUGAGAGUUUGCCCCUGCUCCACAGACCAUAGCCAACUGGAGCUUGCCUCUGCCCAUACAGGGGCUGCUGCCCUCUCUUCAUGCCCGUUGAUUGGCACCUGGCAUGAACCAAUUAACAGACAGGGUUUCCUUCACAGCACCAGUCCCAGGUAGCAGCCCUAGUUUGGGUUUUUGUUUUAAAACAAGCCCCUCCACGCACACCUUUGCGCCAACCAAGCUACCUUUCUGUGCACCCUAUUGCCAUUGAAGAGGUUUUUGGCCUUUGUGGGGAGGGACCCGUCCAAUUUAGAGAACCGGUCUAGUGUAAUGGUUAGAGUGUUGGACUAGGACCUGGGAAACUGGAGUUUACCGUAUUUUUUGACCCAUAGGACGCACUUUUUCCCCUCCAAAAAUGAAGGGGAAAUGUGUGUGCGUCCUAUGGGGCGAAUGCAGGCUUUCCCGGGCUUCCUGCAGCUCUGCACCACCCUCCGGAUCCCGGCGCGAAGCCGCGCGGGGCUCCGGAGGGUGGCGCGGAGCUGCCUGCAUUCCGAAGCCUGGUGCGCGCUGAAGAGCGCGCCCGGGCUUCGCGCACCUCUCCGCAAGCCUGGGGAGACCGGCGCGGCUCCCUAGGCUUGCGGAUAGCAGGCUGUUCUGGGGGCUGGGGUCGGGGGAAGCUCGGGCUUCCCCCAUGCCUGCCCCGUGCCGGGGGGGGGAAUAAUUUUUUUUCUUUAUUUUCCCCACCCCCCAAAACAUUAGGUGCGUCCUAUGGGGCGGUGCGUCCUAUGGGGCGAAAAAUACGGUAAAUAGCUGCUCAAUCAUGAAGCCCACUGUGUAACCUUGGGCCAGUCACUGUCUCUCUGUCUGACCUACCUCACUGGGUCAUUGUAAAGAUAAAAAGGGGACAUGGCGUAGGAGUGCAUAAACCGCCUUGAACUCCUUGGAGAAAAUGUUGAUAUAUAAAUGUAUAAAUAUAUAAAACAACAACAACAAUAAUAAAAUAAAUUUUAGCAUGGAGUACCAGAGUCAAAUUCGCACUGUCAGACUUACGCUUAUAUCAUGAAGCUGCAUGUUUAUGUUAGUUGAAGGAGUGGAUACGGUUGAAGAACACUCAGCUGUUAGAUUUAGAGGGGUAUGAUAUUAAAGUUGGUUGGCAUGCAUGUCUAUUGUGUAAGGGUAAUGCUCCAUAAUGCAAAGGCAAACCUCGCACAAAAUAUGCCACAGCAUGUCUGGGAGCAUCACGCUUGCUUUCUCUGACCUUUUGCCUUCUUGGCUGAAAAACAGGGUUUUCCCCUUGACCUUUUGUCCUUUCGCAAACUGUCUGCUUAAUGUUUCACUUGGCUGGAGCGUGAUUGGUGGAUCAGACUUGGUCUAACGUCAGGGGAAGCACCUGUUUGACACGUGUAUCACUCACGCUAGAAAUGUGCCCUUGCUGGAAAUAUGUUAUGUUCAGGGUUUACACUACUGUUUCCAAUUGUUGACUUCUGCUAAUAAAAAGAGGCUCUGCAAAGCUAGCCGGCAGCUUGCUUCUGCAUAGCUCACUUGCAUCCCAACUCCUGUGUCGUCUCCUUGUUUAUACAUAUUGUAUGGUAAAGCCAACAUAUAUAACAGCUUCUUGAAUCAUGUAGUUAGAAAGAAUCUAUAGAAUAUGGGAGAAAUAAAAAAACCUGCUUGAAACUCUCACCCAAAGAAGCAAUUUAUUUGAAAAGAUUGAACAUGGACCAGCACUGGGGAACAUACAGAGAUCUUCUGGAUUGUUUAGAGCAAGACGUAAAACUGAAUAAAUUAGAAGAUGUUAGUAAUAUGGUGAAUGACUGGCUACAAUAACACCAACGAAAUGUAAUGUUUAGACUACAUAAGCAGUAUGGUUUUAUGGAUCAAAGUUUCCAAUUCAAAAGCGAAUAGAAAAUAGAGACCAACUGAUCUCUAGAAUGUACAAAUUAUGAGAGUGGGAAAUAAAAGAUGAAUCGGUAAAAUUUGAUACGAUACAUUGGGCGAGGGAUAUGGAACAUGAUAUUGAAUUUACUUUGUGGGAGAAACUGUGGGAAAUGGAUUUAAAAUUUACAGCUUGUUAUGCAUUGAAAGAGAAUUAUAUGAAAAUGACAUAUAAGAGGAACCUGACACCGAGUAAGUUAGCAAAGAUGUAUAGCUCAGUGUUAAGUUGUGGGCGAACAUAUCAGACGACACAGUGAUUCUUCCAAAGCAGCCCUUUAUUUGUAAGCUGGAACAGAACUAACUGAGGAGCUCAGUCAGCCUGCUUAUAUAGAGCUCCAGAACAAUGUAACUGUUGCCAUUUUCUAAAACUAUCCAAUCACUGAACGUCACUUUUCGAUCCUUCAUUUGCAUAACUAUCUACAGUAUCCCCCUGCUGGCCCAGGGUGAGAACUUCAGUACAUAACACUCAGAAUCAGGUAAUGGCAGGAAAUAUAACAAAAACCACCAGAAGUUACGUUUUACCUAUGUGGUGGGUAUGUAAACUAGCUAAAGGCUUAUGGGAGAUGAUAUAUAAUGUAAUGGGGGGGGGAUGUUUAAAAGGUCUUUUAUAAAAAGACCAGAAGCUUUUCUUUUAGAAAUAAUUGAGUCAGAUGUCCCCAGAAAUAAUAAUUAUAAAAAAAAUAUUAAUCUAUGUAACUACAGCAGCCCAAAUUUUAUAUGCUCAGACAUGGAAAGAGGGGGCAUUUCUGAUGAGGGAGGAGUGGCAGAUGAAGAUGAUGGAAUAUGCAGAACUAGCGAGUCUAACCAGCAGAAUAAGAGAUCAGGAAGGGUAUUCAAGGAAAACUGGAAAAAGUUUGUAGAGUAUACGAAGAAUCACUGUAAACAAGUUAAAUCAUUAAUGAUAAUAAUUAUUAUUAUGCCCCGCCCGAUGUAUAAGUGUGGGGUGGGAUAAUAUUGUUUUUGUUUGUUACUGUGGUAUGCACUUUUGUGUUUUUGUGCAUUUUUGUGUUUUCCUAAACAACUUUUGUGUCCAGAUUUUCACUUUUUGAAGUAUGUAUUUUUUCAUUUGUAUUUGCAUUUUCAAAAACAGGAAUGGGGAGCAUAUUUUAACCCCCCUCCCCUCACAACUUCAUACCAAAUACAGUGGUACCUCGGGUUAAGUACUUAAUUCGUUCCGGAGGUCCGUACUUAACCUGAAACUGUUCUUAACCUGAAGCACCACUUUAGCUAUUGGGGCCGCCUGCUGCUGCCGCGCUGGCGGAGCACAAUUUCUGUUCUCAUCCUGAAGCAAAGUUCUUAACCCGAGGUACUAUUUCUGGGUUAGCAGAGUCUGUAACCUGAAGCGUAUGUAACCUGAGGUACCACUGUACAUGCAUACAUAUACCAUGUCCUGGCUUUUGAAGUUCGGGUCACUGAUUUACGGGGCAUGGGCUGAUGGAAGGAGACGUCCGAGUUGGGCUUGCCAGCUGGCCUCCCAGCCCCUCUGCAUGUCGUCACUCCCAUCAUCCCUGACCACUCAUCCCACUAGCUAGGGAUGAUGGAAGUUGUAGUCCAACAACAACCAGGGACUCAGCUUUGAGAAAUAUUGGUGUGCUCUGAUGGUCAGUGGCUGUCCAGAGUUUCCCAUCUUGGCCCUACCUGGAGAUGCCAGGGAUGGAACGCAAGGCCUUCUGCAUGCCAAGCAGGUGCUCCAAAUAACAGGGGAAGAGCCCACCGCUCCUUGGUACAGCACAUCCUUCGCAUGGAGAAGGCCCCAGGUUCAGUCCUGGGCAAUAAAUCCUCUGCUUGAAACCCUGGAGAGCUGCUGCUGCCAGCCAGUGUAGCCAACACUGAACUAGAUGGACCAAUGAUCUGGCUCCAUAGAGGGCAGCACCUUAUAAUCUUACGGUCCACUCUGCAGGUCACUGGGACUUGUGGGCCUGUCUCCCUACGUGUCUUCAAUCUGCAAUUCCCAGUGCAAUCCCAGGCAAGCGGGAAACGACCAAAGAGGCAGAAGUCACAGCAACGGGCGAAAAAGAGAACUUGGCCAACCCCAGCCAGCAACGUUGGGCAGGUAAGCAGUUGAUAGGUUGGGCAACACUGGAAAAUGAAUCCCUGGAUCCCUGGAUCCUUGUGGCUUCACUGCCUGGGGCUGCAACCGAGAAAUGAAUGGUUGGAGAUCCUGAAGCUGUAAGGAAUGCACUUCUGAGCAUGUGCAGAGUACUUUCUUUGGGUAACACUGGACAACCUCCAGCCACUUCCACCCCUCUGGAUUUAGGAGGCCCAUUGAGCUUGUGCUUCCUACCAGACUUUAGCCCUGGUGGCAUCUCCUUGAAAUAAUAAUAACAAAUAUUUUUAUUUAUACCCCACCAUCCCCAGCCAGAGCCUGGCUCAGGGCGGUUAACACCAGUAAAAUUACAGUAAAAACAUAAUAGGAAAAGAAAAAAGAAAAAAAACCCAAUUUAAAAUACAGGUUAAAAUGCAAUUUAAAAUGCAGCCUCAUUUUAAAAGUAGCCCAUGGAUCAAAACCAUAAGGGGAGGGAAACAUAAGGGUCAGGCUGAGUCCAAACCAAAGGCCAGGCGGAACAGCUCUGUCUUGCAGGCCCUGCGGAAAGAUGUCAAGUCCCGCAGGGGCCUGGUCUCUUGUGACAGAGCGUUCCACCAAGUUGGGGCCAGUACUGAAAAGGCCCUGGCCCUAGUUGAGACCAGUCUAACCUCCUUGCGACCUGGAACCUCCAAAAUGUUGCCAUUUGUGGACCUUAAGGUCCUCCGUGGGAACAUAAUACAGUAGUGCCUUGGUUCUCAAACGCCUUGGUACUCAAACAACUCGGAACCCAAACACUGCUAACCCGGAAAUAAGUGUUCUGAUUUGUGAACCUUUUUCGGAAGUCAAACAUGCUCUGUUUUGAGUGUUACGCUUCCAAUUUGAGUGCCACACUUCCUUUUUGAAUAUUACGCUGAGGUCUGUCUGUUUUUUGCUAUUUAUUUUGCGUUUUUGCUUCUGCGGCUCUUUUUGUUGUUGUUUUUGUGACUGUGUGGAACCCAGUUCAGCUGCUGAUUGAUUGACUGCGUGACUGCAGUACAUUGUUUAUUGCUUUCAUUUUAUGGAUCAAUGGUCUCGUUAGAUAGUAAAAUAGUUAAAUUGCUGUUUUAGAGGUUUUUUUAAAAAAGCCUGGAAUGGAUUAAUCAGUUUUGUAUCGCUUUCUAUGGGAAAGCACACCUUGGUUUUGGAACGGACUUCCGGAACGGAUUAAGUUUGAGAACCAAGGUACCACUGUAAAUGAAGGCAAACCAACCAUGGCCCUCAAUCUCUCUCGCCACCAAUGAAACCUAAUUUUCUAUUCGUUUAUUGCCCUCUUGGGAGCUUUGAACAGAUAGCGCCUGCUUUUUCUUUUCACUCUCUGUGCCUGUUUUCAUGGAUCUGCAAGAAGGAGCACCUCGACUCCCGGCCAGCAGAAAUCGCAAUCACCAUUGAGCAGGGGUAAGCGAGCUUCCUUCCAAUUUGACAAAGACAUCUCUCUGCUGUGUGCUUCGGGAUAGGGCUGGGCAGCUGUACGGCCUUGGAGCCAAAUCUGCUAUGAUUCUGACGGCUCCAACCCUGAGAGGCCAAAGAGGGCUGUGGGAGGAGACCUCUGACACUGCUGUGGAAGUGACCUUUUGAGGUCCUGUAAGUUCAUAAAGAUGCGAGUGGCACUGUGGUCUAAACCACUGAGCCUCUUGGGCUUCCUGAUCAGAAGGCUGGUGGUUCGAAUCCCCGUGACAGGGUGAGCUCCCGUUGGUUGGUCCCAGCUCCUGCCAACCUAGCAGUUUGAAAGUAUAACAGUGCAAGUAGAUAAACAGGUACCGCUCUGGUGGGAAGGUUAUCAGUAUUUCCAUUCGCUGCUCUGGUUCGCCAGAAGCAGCUUAGUCAUGCUGGCCACAUGACCCGGAAGCUGUACACCUCAGCCAAUAAAGCGAAAUGAGCGCCACAACCCCAGAGUCGUCCGUGACUAGACCUAAUGGUCAGGGGUCCCUUUACCUAAGUCCAUAAAGAAUGCUGUAUUAUUUUACUGUUGUUAGCCACUCUGAGCCCGGCUUUGGCUGGGAGGGCAGAAUAUAAAUAAAAUAUUAUUAUUAUUUAUUAUUAUUAUUCAAAGAAGUGUCCCAACAACCAGAUUUACGAAUCUGAACCAUUUGCUUCCUCUUCCAGAUCCAGCCUACAAGAGCCUUCAAUCAUCUCCUGCCUCCCAACCCAGAA